UUUAAUAUUGAAAAUAUGGGUUUAAUCAAAUUUUAAAAUUGAUUAAUUAAAAGGGAAUCAGGUGAAAUUCCUGAACUAUCCCGUAGCUGUAAUAGAUGAAUUUAAGUACAUAUUAGCCACUUGGUUACAGGGAAGGCGUAUUUAAAUGUUGAUUCUUGAGUCAGAAGACCUGCCUAUAUUUCACACCAUUA
This 191-nucleotide non-coding RNA is filed under the name Bacillus sp. (in: firmicutes). RNAcentral also lists the same sequence under 1 other name. Lineage: Bacteria; Bacillati; Bacillota; Bacilli; Caryophanales; Bacillaceae. The record is from RNAcentral.